Molecule: ribosomal RNA, 490 nt
Filed under: uncultured bacterium
Lineage: Bacteria
Description: partial 16S ribosomal RNA
Rfam family: Bacterial small subunit ribosomal RNA
Source: RNAcentral
AUUGAACGCUGGCGGCAGGCCUAACACAUGCAAGUCGAACGGUAACAGGAAGAAGCUUGCUUCUUUGCUGACGAGUGGCGGACGGGUGAGUAAUGUCUGGGAAACUGCCUGAUGGAGGGGGAUAACUACUGGAAACGGUAGCUAAUACCGCAUAAUGUCGCAAGACCAAAGAGGGGGACCUUCGGGCCUCUUGCCAUCGGAUGUGCCCAGAUGGGAUUAGCUAGAAGGUGGGGUAACGGCUCACCUAGGCGACGAUCCCUAGCUGGUCUGAGAGGAUGACCAGCCACACUGGAACUGAGACACGGUCCAGACUCCUACGGGAGGCAGCAGUGGGGAAUAUUGCACAAUGGGCGCAAGCCUGAUGCAGCUAUGCCGCGUGUAUGAAGAAGGCCUUCGGGUUGUAAAGUACUUUCAGCGGGGAGGAAGGGAGUAAAGUUAAUACCUUUGCUCAUUGACGUUACCCGCAGAAGAAGCACCGGCUAACUCCGUG